RNAcentral lists this ribosomal RNA (570 nucleotides) under Salmonella enterica. Its description in RNAcentral is "partial 23S ribosomal RNA". It matches the Rfam family "Bacterial large subunit ribosomal RNA", at positions 691 to 1237 of the family's 2925-position model. The record is from RNAcentral. Lineage: Bacteria; Pseudomonadati; Pseudomonadota; Gammaproteobacteria; Enterobacterales; Enterobacteriaceae.
GGCGUUAAGUUGCAGGGUAUAGACCCGAAACCCGGUGAUCUAGCCAUGGGCAGGUUGAAGGUUGGGUAACACUAACUGGAGGACCGAACCGACUAAUGUUGAAAAAUUAGCGGAUGACCUGUGGCUGGGGGUGAAAGGCCAAUCAAACCGGGAGAUAGCUGGUUCUCCCCGAAAGCUAUUUAGGUAGCGCCUCGUGAAUUCAUCUCCGGGGGUAGAGCACUGUUUCGGCUAGGGGGCCAUCCCGGCUUACCAACCCGAUGCAAACUGCGAAUACCGGAGAAUGUUAUCACGGGAGACACACGGCGGGUGCUAACGUCCGUCGUGAAGAGGGAAACAACCCAGACCGCCAGCUAAGGUCCCAAAGUCAUGGUUAAGUGGGAAACGAUGUGGGAAGGCCCAGACAGCCAGGAUGUUGGCUUAGAAGCAGCCAUCAUUUAAAGAAAGCGUAAUAGCUCACUGGUCGAGUCGGCCUGCGCGGAAGAUGUAACGGGGCUAAACCAUGCACCGAAGCUGCGGCAGCGAACGUAUCACUUAAAGCGAUUCAGCGGGUUACGAUUGACGGAGCGAAGC